UACAGAGGUCUCAAGCGUUGUUCGGAUUCAUUGGGCGUAAAGGGUGUGUAGGUGGCGCCGUAAGUCGGGUGUGAAAUUUCGGAGCUUAACUCCGAAACUGCAUUCGAUACUGCCGUGCUUGAGGACUGGAGAGGAGACUGGAAUUUACGGUGUAGCGGUGAAAUGCGUAGAUAUCGUAAGGAAGACCAGUGGCGAAGGCGGGUCUCUGGACAGUUCCUGACGCUGAGGCACGAAGGUCAGGGGAGCAAACGGG
This 253-nucleotide ribosomal RNA is filed under the name uncultured bacterium. RNAcentral describes it as "partial 16S ribosomal RNA". It matches the Rfam family "Bacterial small subunit ribosomal RNA", at positions 524 to 776 of the family's 1533-position model. The record is from RNAcentral.